GGAAGGAAACACAGGGAAAAUAUACAUUUCAAUACUUUCUCGCGCAGUUAUAACGUUGGGUAAUUAUACUGUAAAUAAGAUGCAGGCAUCAGGGAGCUGCUAUUAAUAUGCGGGGCAUUGAAACUGCUUUGGAAUGCACAGUCACUUUUUAGUUUCACUUUCACUUUGGAGAUUCGCUAUGCACGAACUCUGUUUAUAUUAUGGAGCAGCAGUACUUACCACACAUUUUACAAGAUCAGAUGCUUGUCAGUGGUGCUCAGGAUCUGUAAAUCAUUCAACAUCAUCCUCAGUCAUCUCUCUCUGUUUAUGUGUGUAGCUGCAAGAUCUGCUCCAUAAGCUCCUAAAAAUAUUAUCUUCCAUUAUCCAUCUCAGAAGGAUUACUAUCCAAGGAGUUCCGUAUAAUAGCUAUUCCCUUUCAUCUCAGCUGGCAUAGAAGCUCCUACAAAAUAAUGGUUGCAGGGGGAGAAAGUUACAGAGCAAGAUCCAAUUAUAAAGGGGCGGUGAAGAACCCCAGACAUGACACGCAGCAAACAGCAGAUAGGGAGGAGGAGCAGGAAACUCAAGCAGGUGUUGAGAUUCCUCUUUGACUGAGGGCGAACAGAUUGCCUCCAUCCUGCCAGUGCUCAUCUGCAUGGUAAUAUCAGCUGCCCCCUGCUAACCAGACAAAAUGAUAAGACCUUCUGCCACAAGCGGACAGUGGCUGUGCCGGAGGGCUGAGGAGGAGAUGAUGCGACUCAGGGAGAUUUCUCCCUGGUUGCUCUCUGCAGGCUGCGUGAAGGGGAAGGUAACCAGCAGGUGGGCCGAGGCUUGAAGGAAUUUUCCAGCACAUGAAGGAAAUAGAACAAAAUAGUUUCUGUGUCACAGUGAGCAAAUAGCACCCUCAAUCAGAAAGCACAUGACCUGUCACACACACUGAACUUGAACAUACACAGCCACGCACACACUCCCAAUGCAUCUGUACUUAUGAUAUAAAACCCCUUCUUAGCCCUGCAGCUGAUGCUAUAGUGAUGCAGUGAUACUUGUGACAUUUCAUGCCCAGCAAUACCCCUUUCCAUAAGCAUAGGAUAGAUAGAUAGAUAGAUAGAUCUAUCUAUCUAUAGAUCUAUGCGUAUAAAUAGUACGCCAAAUAAAAACGAAAACUCAUGGUGUUGAUACGCAAAAAUGGACUUUGGCGUAUAUAUGAUUCAAACGUGUUUGACGUGCAAGCUGUGCAUACAAAACGCAGUUUUCGUGUGCAUAUGAUACCAAAUUUGUUGGUGUGCACAUGAUACUUAGUUUUCGCGUAGAUAUGAUACGCAUCUACCCCACAACCGUUCAUUUUUAUUUGGUGUACUAUUUAUAUGCACUUUCAUGAGAUUGGGUUGGUUAUAACAUUAUUCGAUGUUAUUACUUACUCACACUAAUGGCUUCCCAGUUCUCUGUGGUGUUUUCCCCUGUUUUCUAGAUUGCUCUUUGGAAAUCAGUAUGACAUUUAAAAAAAAAAAAAAAAAAAAAACUGUUUGAAGACUCAUCAAAAAUUAGCAUAUAGUUUUGGAAUAACAUGAGGGUGGAAAAAAUGACAGGGAAAACCUUUAAAUCCAGGAGCAAUGUAUCUACAGGAUAAGAAUCUCUAACACGUAAAUAAAGAAAAACUCAUCUCAGGCUGUGUACUUUUUUUGUUCUAUUCAUACUGCAUAAAAUUACAGCUAGUUACACUCCAUCAGAGUCAUUAGCAUCCUCUCCCUGUCUUUCUAAAAACAGAAUAUUGUACUGUGCAGACGCAUAGCAUGAUUACAAGAGAGGCAGUCUCAAGAGAACAGAAGCUCAAAUCAGCAGUGUGAAAGUGUCCCUCAGGGCCUACAGCAAAGGUGUUUCAUUCCCUCUGUUGAUGUGACAAGAUAUAGCACAAAAGAGUGCAGGUCAUGCGUGUGUGAGCACAAGCACAGGGGUGUUGCGUAGGGGAUGUCUCACAUCUGUUUUUGGAUGAAGGGGGGAAAAGAGAGAGUGUUUUAAUUAUCAUAUUAGUCAUUAAAAAAGAGACAUUGCCUUGAGGGAAAUCAAACAGUUACUGAUUCUUUCCCUUCUAGUGAAGGCGGCCAUACACAACUUUUUUCUGUCCACUAGGUCUGUCUGAUAUGUCUUUUGCAUCAAUUACCGUAGUUUGGUUCUGACAGAUGACAGAUUCCCAGCAGAAGACACCUGGGAUUAUGGGAAAAAUGUUUAUCAGUAUGUUUGCAUUCUGUAGAGAGCUGAUAAUUAAAUGAGAAUAGUGUUUUCACCAUUACAUGAAAAGGUGACAUAUUAACCCUUGUACUGUGCUGAAAAUCCUUUACUUAAUCUGGUAAUAGUGGUCAGAAAUGGCUUGCUUGUAAAACUAUUGUUAUGCUAUAUCAUCAGCAAAUCUUGGAUUCAACUUUUUAUCAACUUGUUUUCUUUCAA
Molecule: long non-coding RNA, 2418 nt
Organism: Onychostoma macrolepis
Lineage: Eukaryota; Metazoa; Chordata; Actinopteri; Cypriniformes; Cyprinidae
Exons: 4
Source: RefSeq, a predicted model, not a curated record